RNAcentral lists this ribosomal RNA (309 nucleotides) under Triticum aestivum (bread wheat). RNAcentral describes it as "partial small subunit ribosomal RNA". Lineage: Eukaryota; Viridiplantae; Streptophyta; Magnoliopsida; Poales; Poaceae. The record is from RNAcentral.
AUGACGACCACUGGUCCCCCUUGGACACUCCCGCCGGGCGAAUCAAGCGCACCGUCGGCGCCGUUGUCGAACAGACGACUCUCGCCGACCCGCACUACUGUGGAAGACGAGGUGAUCGCGCCGUCGUCGACUCGACCUCGAGCAACCGGCAAGAUCGGCAAGCUUCGGCUUCUUUCCGCCGGCGGCCGUCCCUGCCCCAGGUGGCGGCUGCUGCCCCAUCUGCCUCCAAGAGUUCGAGGCCGGCCGCGAGCGCGAGGGGCGGCGGCUGCCGGCGUGCUCCCACGCCUUCCAUCUCGAGUGCAUCCGUAG